This 253-nucleotide ribosomal RNA is filed under the name uncultured bacterium. RNAcentral describes it as "partial 16S ribosomal RNA". It matches the Rfam family "Bacterial small subunit ribosomal RNA", at positions 524 to 776 of the family's 1533-position model. The record is from RNAcentral.
UACGGAGGGUGCAAGCAUUAAUCGGAUUUAUUGGGCGUAAAGGGCGCGUAGGCGGCUGUCCAAGUCAGGUGUGAAAGCCCGGGGCUCAACCCCGGAACUGCGUCCGAUACUGGAAGGCUUGAAUCCGGGAGAGGGAUGCGGAAUUCCAGGUGUAGCGGUGAAAUGCGUAGAUAUCUGGAGGAACACCGGUGGCGAAGGCAGCCCCCUGGGCCAACACUGACGCUCAGGCACGAAAGCGUGGGGAGCAAACAGG